This 8150-nucleotide long non-coding RNA is filed under the name Zea mays. RNAcentral's name for it is "long non-coding RNA (ZMAY_LNC001494)". Lineage: Eukaryota; Viridiplantae; Streptophyta; Magnoliopsida; Poales; Poaceae. The record is from RNAcentral.
AAUCAACAUCUUUUGUCAGUCACCUCAUUUCCACUUAUUACUCAAUGUAGCAGCAUGGAUCAAGCAGUCUCAUUAGCUGCGAGAAGCAGACGAUUCGAAUCGAGUUUUUAUCCUUGCAAGGUAAACCUAAACACACGACAUGUAGGGGCACUCCGUCCCCACACACAUCAACCGUCCCCAUCGAUUCCCCGUCAGCAGAUCAGGGCUCACCGUCUUGGCGUACAAUGCCUCACUGACCCCGACUGCCGUCGUGCAGUGACCGCACUUGUACCCACCAUAACCGGAAUGGGAGACCACGUCUCAGGUCGCGUGAGGGGCAAAGUCUACUGCCAGGUUCAAUCAGGUACUAGGCUUACCGAUUUACCAUAUUUCUCGGUAUGUGUUUAGUACGUUCAAACGCUUGACUCACGGUACCACACCUUAAUCCUUAUUCAAAUUUUUAUCCCGUGGACAACCAAUCCCCAUGGAUUGUUCUCCACAACCAGCAUCAUUAUGAGAAGAAAGUGAAUACAACCAAUUUCCUGACCUCGCGCGAGUGCUAGAAAAAUCACUCGACUUCUACCGAGAUCCUUAAUUAGUAAAGCAGCUACUCGACCAAGCAUACUAGUAUCCAUCUCAAAAGGAAUCCUGAGUUCAUGCAACUAGGGUUUCAGACAACUCCUACACUUAAGUGCACAGUACAAGCCUACAAACAUUAAGUGUAGUAAAAUAGCAUAUAUAAACGGUUAUGCAUAAAACCGGGGCUUGCCUUAAAUUUAACACUUAGACAGUGUUUGCUGGGGGAGGUACUCGCUUGGCGAGCAUCCACUGGUUAAGUCCAUCCUUGGGUCGUCCACCGACGGCAUCUUGUGGUUGGCACCACAUCACUUGCAUGAUCGUCAUCUCUCGGUCCUAAAUGAGAUGCAAGAUGCAUAUGUAUGAAUAUAAUGAAAUAGCACAAGAUACUUUAGGUACAUGUUAGCGAAUUAAACACUAAGUAGCGAGACAUCAUAAGCAACUACACACACUAGCGUUAGCUACUACAUAUCAUUGAGCACACAACAUUAACACCACUAAAAGACGAUAAACAUUUUGUAUAUUUACGCAACACACAUACGAUCCCAUAAGUACGAGCGUUUAUUUAAUUUGCUACGGCUUUUCAUUAGUUCUUCUAUUUAUCACACAAAAGCAUCACAAAUACAAGUUUAAUAGAGGACCGAUGCAUCAAUGUCGAUGGACUCCUCUAUCACAAUCAACUACAGCAAGCAAGCACAUUAAUCAUGGAACACAUGUUAACCUAAGUUUAGCCAUCACAAGUCUAUGUCCGUUAAGUGCUAACUAAGCAUUUUAGCCAAAAUGGUGAACUAACAAUCAAAUGAGCACUAGCAGAAUUUUUGGACAGCAAUACAGCAGUUGCUUGUUUUAAUCAUAACUCUUCAAUUGUUAGUCCAAAAAUAUCAAACUAGGACUUUCUGAAAAGCUUAAAAAGUGCUCUACAACUUUGGUAUUGUCAUCACAACCUGAUUAAACACUUAGCAAGGUCGAAUUGUGCAAACACAACAGCUCUGUCCAGAUUUGGACAGAUUCAGACUUGCAGCUUCAAAAAUUCACAACAAAAGAUUCAGACAUCCAAACAAAGUGAUCCUAGACUUUCUGGAAAGCUAAUUAAAUGUUAUACAAAUUAUUUAUAAACAUCCCUGGCUGGUUUAGCAUGUAUCAAGGGUAAAAUAUACUAUGAAGGAUGUGCUGUCCAAAACUGGACAGAUUCAGUCUUCACACUUCAAACACAUGUAACUUAAUCUUCAGACCACCAAAAAUAGUGAUCCAAGACUUUUUGGAAAGCUUGGGAAAGGUACUACAUAACUUUUAUAAUCACCAAGAAGUGAUUCCAGGUUUAUUCAAAUCAAACAUUACAGUUUUUUGAAAUCUGUUCUGACAGAGGACAGAACACAGCAACCAGUUUGAAAAAUUCAUAACUCUUAAACUAUCAGUCCUAUGGUUAUGAAAUUUUAACACAAGCAAGAUAAAAAAAUCCUCUACAACUUUCUUAUAAUCGACAAGGACUGAUUCUAAAAUUAACUUAAGCAAACAAUGCAGGUUCUGAAAUCUGUACAGAAAUUCGACAGAUUCAGGUGCUGGGCUUGUGAAAAGCACAACUCCUAAACGAUCAGGUUUAUGGCUGUCAAAUUUUAGUACAAGCAAGAUAAUCAUGUUAUCUACAACUUUUCUAUAGCACAUAUCUACAGAAAACACAAUUUAGUUCAUCCAACAUACAGCACGACAAAAACAGCGCGUGCAGCCCAAAACAGAAAUCAAUAAAUUUCAGCUCCUAUAAUUCAAGAAUUUGCCGCAUUCUAGAGACUUAAAUUAUUCUAACACUUUACCGUUUCUUAGAGUUAAAAUAAUCAACUGAGGACUAACAAGUAGACUCACUAAUUUUUGUCCAUGUCAUUUUGUAUUACUAGCUUAAUUGCACAACCAAAACUAUACAUGCAUGAAUUUUUCAGCUUGCAAGCACAAGAACACUUAACUCAAUCAUCAAGCACAAUCAGGGACAGUUACUACAAAUUCUCAUUUCCAAAUUGCAAUGAUUUGGUUAUCUAACACAACUAUCACAUGCUUAUGUUAUGUAAGUUGGUUACCAUGAAAGAGACACUUUAAUAAUGUAAAUUAGCAUGUGACGAUAAGUUAAUUCUAAACUCUUUACCUCUCACAAGACAUGAUCAUUUUAAUGUCAUCAAGAUACCACAACAUCAUACGAGGACAUAUGCAUACUAGUUUCCAAUUUUACAUCUACAACUUCUUUACUAGUUAUUUUCAACCACUUAAUCGGCAUUGAUCGAAUUAAACCUCUCACUCGACAAUUUGGGGCACCAUAAAUUUCAGAAUUCUACCUAGACACCUAGCGUCACAUAGAGAGUCUACUAAUUAACUUGCAACCACUUGAAGUACUGGAAACACCUACAUAUAACAAUUAUUUAACGCAAUUGAAUUCCUCUAUUUAACAAGAGUUGGCUAACACAACAUGAAAAAAUAGUAAUUCAUACACAAGUUCAUAUUUUUCUCAAUCACAACACCAUGAGACCAACAAAACUAGUUUCACCAUUUUAGACAUCUUAACUUAAAAUAUAGCUAAAAGUAAUUCGAUUAGUUUUCUUAACUACUUUUCUAUAUUAGGUCACUUAGCUCCUAAUUAAUCAACACACCAUAUUUCCUUUGACGCAAUAGGUAGAGCACGAUUACUUGUUUCUAACAAUCUUUGGGUAUCAACAAUUAAUUACCUAUGGUAUUUAUCCGACUCGAAAACAUAGAGAAGGCGACGAUUACUACGACAUGUCGUCACCUCAUCUUAAUCGCGUAAUCAAUUUUAGCUUUACUGAUCGAGUCUGCCGACUAACCGUUUAAACUAGUAAAAGCUAUCCUUCACAUCAAACAACACAUCGCACAUCUUCCUAUCGAAACGUAAAAACAUCCGAGUUCUUUUCUACCUCUUUUUCUUUCGCCACAAACUUCAAUCCAUACCAAUACAAUUUUUAAACACGCACCACAUCGACCAAUUUAUACGAAUCGACAACCACCAAUCUCUAACUCGAAAUCAUGAGCACGACCCUAUUACGACCUACCGCCAAAACAUUUCAACCACAUCUAUAUAAUUUAUCAAUCAAGUCAAUCGAGAGCGACAUGCAUCGGCUCACCAUAAACAAACUCAAUCGGUGUUUGUAAGAACGUUGGCGAUUCGAUUUGUGCAUAGCUCCGCACAUCGACGAGCGUUGAACGACUUGCCUUCUUCUCCACGCAAAACACGGGGUUUCUCUCCUCCACAAAAACAAAACAAAGCAGCACACAUACAUAAUUAAUCAUAGAAAAAUAAUGUCAAUACGGAAUCGAACAAGGAGUGUCGCGGUCUCACCAGGGUGAACGACGACGACGGCGGGGCUGCGCAAAAACAGCAACCCACCGACGGGCAUCACGGCGUGCUGCUCACUGCGCAAUAAAACAGCAAGCCGGCAGCGCGCGGAGCCGUCGGGGCUGCUGCACAUUUCGUCGAGCAGCCAAAGGGCAUCAAGGAGAACAGCAAGGGGCGCUCAGCUAGGGGAGCAGAGAUCCGGCCAUGCCGUGCUCCCGCCAGCAGCCCUGCGCGCGGUAGAGAGUGCUGCAGCCAAGGGGAGAGCAGGGUGCUGCACGGAUGGAGGAAAGGGGUCGGUCUGCCCUUCUUGAGGAGGAAGAAAGGCGCCGCUGGGCUUCUCUGGCUGGUGUGCUGCUGGAAACAUGCGUCAGGGAAGGGGAGGAAGGGCUGCUACUCUUGGGUGCCGAGCUGAAGAAAGGGAAAGUGCAGGGGGCUCGACCAUGGGGAGGUGCUGCGAGGGGGAGGGACGUUCAGUCCAUGCAUGGGAGAUGUAGGGACGCGCUGGAGAGGGGAUGGAGCAGAGGGGAAAAGGGAGGUCGGCCAUGGGGAGGGGAGCGAGGAGGGAGACGCAGGGAGCUCGGCGGCCACCAUGGCUAGGCUAUGGAGCUCGCAGGGGCGAACGCCAAUGGUGACCUGUGCGCGACGGGGAGGAAGCCAGCAGAGAACUCUGCGGUGAGCGGCAGCUAGGGGAAAUGGAGAUCCGCGUGGGGGGUUGCUGGCAAGCUCGCGGCAGGGAGGUGAGCUCGGCCAUGGGAAUGGCGCUCACGCCAUGGCUGGAGAUGCAGCUGUCGUGGGAAAAACCAGAGAGGAGGACUGCGUAGGGGAGAAUUAGGUUGCUGGUUGCGGCUGGGAAAAGAAUAGGGGUGGGAGUGCAAAACAGCCAAGGGCAAGGGAGAGGGAUCCGUAUUUAUAGAGAAACCCUAGGGUUAGGGUUUCAAAUGGGCCUAAUUGGGUUGGGUUAGGCUGGCCCAAACACGAAAUCGGGUUGCGUUAAAUUAUUUCUGGAGUAAAAAUGCUUCUGCGGAAUCCGUUUUUACGAAGGACAGAGUGAAUUAUAGUUCCGACGAAUGGACGAUUGAGCGAUUAAUUCGGCCGAGAGUCUAAUUUGAUUUCGCUCGGCAACAAUUUCCUACACAUGAUUCGAAAAUAAAUUGUCUCGGGAUACGACUAGCUUUCGGAUUUUUGAUUGAAAGAGACAAAUCGCGACAUUUAAAAUCAUCGCUGAUGUUGAUUUUUAAAUCGGGAUCGAACACAGAGGUAUGAAGUCGAGUCGGAUAAGAACUAAUUAGAGGGCGACAUACUGAGUAUCCCGUUGGAGAAUACGGACCCGGAUAAAACAGUCGAACAUGGAUCGAAGUUUCGAGGAAUCAGAUUCGGGCUCAGAUCAGAUUACAGUCGUCGAGAGUUUGAUUUUAAAGAGCUUCAGAUGAGAUUUAUAAUUCGAGAAUGAUCUUCGAGUCUGCAUUAGUUCCGAGAAUUAAAAGUUUUAACACGCUCCAAAUUCGGCGUUUCUGUGAGACUGAAGAACUCUGAAUUCGGUGAAACGUGAGUGAAUAAUCUGGAUAAUCAGAGAUAGACACGAUUGAGAAAUAGAAAUUUUUACUGAGCAUCCGAGAUUAGUAUAAAUCUCCCGACAUAACACGAAACUGACACCUGGGGUGUCACAGCCUUCCCCCCUUAAAAAGAAUCUCGUCCCGAGAUUCGAAUGAGGAUCUUCAAGGGUGGAGAAGCAUGUAACUCCCAGGCUGAUGAUAGAUGCCAAUUCAUUGGAUGGGAUCUGACAAGAUACUGAAGAUAGAUUUGGGUAGAAUAUCGCGACAUAUUGAGACAAAAUGCAGCGAUCACUUUGAGAGAAUAUCCACAAAAGACAGCACAUCGGUAUAGUCUCGCAAUGGAUCACAACUAUUAACCACGAUACCAGCGCGUGUCGAGCAGCUCAACCAUGUGUGCACCAUAGUAGGCUCUCGGUUUCGUCGCGGCACCAUCGGUCGUUUAGUCGUAAUGUCAUUACCAAACACAACCAAUGAGGAAUCCACAUAGCAUAGAUAGAUGGAGCCCAUGAGAGUAUGGCCCAGAAAAUAAGAAUUUGACCGGAGCUGAAGCAGAGAUUGCUGGCAAAAAGAGCAUCACGUGAGAAUUUUCUUCAACUCGGAGAACUAUUUUAUGAUCAACACGUAGAUUAUCAGGCCAGAGAUUAGUACAAGAUGGGAUAUGAGAAGGAAGCACUCAAGAGAUCAUGUUGAUGAACUUGUAGAGACAUGAGAGAACCACAAGAUGACAACAACAUCCCUUGAACCAAAUGGAUACACUGUUUAGAGAUAAAAUUGAUAAAACAGUGUCAUGAUCCUUGGAGAAGGGGUAUGAGAAUGACCAGAAUUGAGAGAUUUUGGUAUAUCAACAUUUGAUACUUGAGAACGAGUUAGAGCAGAUAUCCAGAUAAUAGGGUAGGAUCAAUAGGGGAUCCGGAGAUUCGGAUGAUAAAGCCACAACAUGAUUCACAAGAAAAAGAUUACCAGAUCCACGCAAAAGGAGAGGUAGGCAAACAGGAUCAGCUAGGAUGAUCAACAGAAAUGUUAUGAAGUUUUAGGGGCAAGGACUUAUGGAAAGAAACAUGGCCUUGAUAGGUUUUGCGCAACUAGACACAAAACAAUUUUCCUUGAUACAACAAGUGCACAAGGAGACUUGGGUCGGUCUAGCAGUCAAGCUAUGGGUGUCUAUAAGUUGUGCAGGUGCAAUUUCAAGUGUAAAACACACAAGGCUAGAAACACAAAAACAAGCACGUGAUUUGAUUUUUUUUAAGGGCUUUACUCGGGAACAACUAGAUUAUUUGGGGAAGGGGGUCUUUUCAUGAGCAGGACAGACAACUUUUUUUUAUUGGUUAGAGGAAAAAUGGACUGAACAACUAUCGUGCCUUCUAGAAAGCAAGGCAAGAGAAACACAUAUCACGACCUAGUCAAGACUUACCAAUCCGACACAAGGUAAAGCAUUUCUUAUAGUUCCUAACAUAGCAGUACAUCACAUUAUUCACAAGUUAUUAUUGGAAUAAAGGUGAGAGAAGCAUGUUGGUGCACAAAAGACAAUUAUAAUGCGACAAUCAUGAUGCAUGCUCAUUCUAGUCGUCUUCUCAGACCUAACUAAUCUUCGGGUGCUUGCUAUAGCAUCCUUAUUAAUAGUAGUAGUAGCCUUUAUGGCCUAUAUAAAUAGCCACCUAGCUACCCAUCUAUUUCCUAAGGCUUCACGUCCUAGGUCUAUCCUUAUCGUCCUGACGAUCUAUCAACAUUAGUUUCUAGCAAGUUUUACUUUUAGAAAAGGUUGGUAAUCAUGACUUAUUGACUUCUCUGUGAUGGUAUUCGCUCCGAUACCAGCUGUGGCGGAACCGCCCGAAUUAUUCCAGCUUAAGUGCCCAAGUUGCACCCAUAAGGGCAGCAACACACUUAAACAGGAAUAACCCGUCAGUCCCUCGGAUCUAGUCCGAUAAAGCCACUUAUCCAGGAUCGAAUACCACUAGCUCACUCGAAGGUGAGGCACAGAGAAAUACAAUAAAACAUAAUACCACAAAUUUAAUAAGUAUCAUUAGUGAUUACAUUAUCGGAGUUUCAGAAAUAAUAACCAUAAAUUUUAAUGCAGCGGAAAUAACUAACGGAGAAAACCGAGUAACAUGGCGAAGCCUAGCCACGCUACUCCUCCCGGUCCUCUCCUGCGGAAGCAAUAACCCACUCGACCGUCUAUCCCGAUGGCAGGGAUGGGGACCAAGUCACACCAUCAACCAAAUCAACCUAAGGAGUACCUGCAAAAAUUAUGCCACCAGCAAGGCUGAGUAUACUAAUACUCAGCUAGACUUACCCGGUGUGAGGAGUCUACUCCUCUACCUCUAGACAUGCAGCUGUUUGGCUGAGGGGUUUGGUUUGCCAAAAGCACUAGCUGAGUCUAAAAUCAAAUUUUAGCUUUUCAAGUUUUAGUAUGAUCCUUUUAAACUAGAUAAGUACCUAGCUACUCAUACAUGAUAUCAAACAUUUAUAGCAAUCAACAUCUUUUGCCAGUCACCUCAUUUCCACUUAUUACUCAAUGUAGCAGCAUGGAUCAAGCAGUCUCAUUAGCUGCGAGAAGCAGACGAUUCGAAUCGAGUUUUUAUCCUUGCAAGGUAAACCUAAACACACGACAUGUAGGGGCACUCCGUCCCCACACACAUCAACCGUCCCCAUCGAUUCCCCGUCAGCAGAUCAGGGCUCACCGUCUUGGCGUACAAUGCCUCACUGACCCCGAC